AACGAACGCUGGCGGCGUGCUUAACACAUGCAAGUCGUACGAGAAAUCCUGGGCAACCGGGAGAGUAAAGUGGCGCACGGGUGAGUAACGCGUGGGUAACCUACCCUUGAAUUGGGGAUAACACCGCGAAAGCGGUGCUAAUACCGAAUAAAUUUCGAUGCCUUCGGGAAUUGGAAUCAAAGAUGGCCUCUGCAUGCAAGCUAUCGUUUAAGGAUGGGCCCGCGUACCAUUAGCUAGUUGGUAGGGUAAUGGCCUACCAAGGCAACGAUGGUUAGCUGGUCUGAGAGGAUGGCCAGCCACACUGGAACUGAGACACGGUCCAGACUCCUACGGGAGGCUG
Molecule: ribosomal RNA, 340 nt
Filed under: uncultured Pseudomonadota bacterium
Lineage: Bacteria; Pseudomonadati; Pseudomonadota
Description: bacterial SSU rRNA
Rfam family: Bacterial small subunit ribosomal RNA
Source: RNAcentral